RNAcentral lists this ribosomal RNA (478 nucleotides) under uncultured bacterium. RNAcentral describes it as "partial 16S ribosomal RNA". It matches the Rfam family "Bacterial small subunit ribosomal RNA", at positions 28 to 523 of the family's 1533-position model. The record is from RNAcentral.
GACGAACGCUGGCGGCGUGCUUAACACAUGCAAGUCGAACGGUAAGGCCCUUCGGGGUACACGAGUGGCGAACGGGUGAGUAACACGUGGGUGAUCUGCCCUGCACUUCGGGAUAAGCCUGGGAAACUGGGUCUAAUACCGGAUAGGACCCUGGGAUGCAUGUCCUGGGGUGGAAAGCUUUUGCGGUGUGGGAUGGGCCUGCGGGCUAUCAGCUUGUUGGGGGGGUGGUGGGCUACCAAGGCGACGACGGGGAGCCGGCCUGAGAGGGUGACCGGCCACAGUGGGACUGAGAUACGUCCCAGACUCUGACGGGAGGCAGCAGUGGGGAAUAUUGCACAAUGGGCGCAAGCCUGAUGCAGCGACGCCGCGUGAGGGAUGACGGCCUUCGGGUUGUAAACCUCUUUCAGCACCGACGAAGCGCAAGUGACGGUAGGUGCAGAAGAAGGACCGGCCAACUACGUGCCAGCCGCCGCCGUAA